GACUAUGUAUUUGAGUUAAAAAUGUCUUAAUGCUGGAUGUGUUUCAGUUUUUGUCUUCUCCAGAUGUUAACUGAUGGACUGGAGUGCUGUGGGUUAUUGAGAUUGUUGAAGCUUGAUAAUGAAAUGAUCCACAGGAUUCGAGUCUCCCAUCCUGCACGGCCUGUGUUCCUUUGGCUUCGCUGCUCGUCACGUUCUGAAGCAGUUCACAGGAAAUAACGUGUCUCAAGUCCACACGAUCUGCCUUUAAUGACUAGAGCUGACAGGGAUAAAUCACGCUCUCAUGUUUAUAUCAUAUGAUAUAGUUUAGCAAUAUCACACCAGCAAGAGAGCUGUUUCUCCCCAACAUCUGCUCCACUGCAAAUGUUCAGUAAACAAGAAGUUCAUAUUGUGUUACAUUUUAGAUUUGGUCAGUAUUGCCUGUUUUUGCUCAGUUUCACAAACUAAAAUCGUUCCAAUUAAAACCACAGCAGAACAAUGCACAGCACGGAUUUGUUACUGAAUGAAUCUGUGGUUUUGAAUGAAUCAAGUGAGUCAGUUAUUCAGUGACUCAUUCAUAAAGACAGUCACUUGCUUCGUUUCUGAUUGAAUCAGCUGUUUGAACGAAUCGAAUGAGUCGAUGAUUCAUUUAUAAAUAGUUCAUCUGCUUCAUCUGUGAAUGAACCUGCGGUUAUUAACGAAUCGGUUGAAUGAAUGAUUCAAUGACUCAUUUGUUUAGACAGUGAAGUGCCUCUUUUAGUUUCAUGUUUUGAGUAUCAUUUCAUUUUUUUUUUAAAUAAUUCAGGAUUAAUUAAAAACCAUACCACUUUAUUGUCACACAAUAAGACAAUAAUGACUUUAAAUGAACUCACGUGUGCACACAUGAUGGUGUGUGAAACAGAAGUGUGAUUAAUUCACUUCGUUCAUCUGCACGUGAUGUAAUUAAUCAGAUUACAGUGUGAUUAAUGACCCUGAUCUGUGUUUCCGGUGUGUUUCGUGUUCCCAGGACAGUCUCUGCAGACGGAGACGUGGAAGGAAGCGAACGGGAGUCACCUCCAGUGUAAGGCGUUUUUCUCCAGCAAGCUGAAAGUCAAAGUCAUGUUGAGCCAGAAGCUGGAGGCCGUGCUGAAGAACUACGCCGAGCUCUGAAGAUCCGAGUCGAGUCUGUCUGCAUCAAUCAUUAAUACUGCUGAUCAUUAAUAAAAACCCAGCACAGAAAUGAA
Cyprinus carpio (common carp) is the source of this 1199-nucleotide long non-coding RNA. RefSeq lists it as uncharacterized. Lineage: Eukaryota; Metazoa; Chordata; Actinopteri; Cypriniformes; Cyprinidae. The record is from RefSeq and is a predicted model, not a curated record. The transcript has 2 exons.